This is a non-coding RNA of Sesamum indicum (sesame), 1733 nucleotides long. The record is from RefSeq and is a predicted model, not a curated record. NCBI's taxonomy places the organism in Eukaryota, Viridiplantae, Streptophyta, Magnoliopsida, Lamiales, Pedaliaceae.
GUUUAUAUUAUUUUUUUAGUAAUUUGACAAAUAAAUGUGAUUUAGGAAGUCAUAAGAUUGAGACAUGAAUGUGCACUAGUGUUAUGUGAUUGUUGCUUUGAUUAACUGUGGAGUUGUUGAGGCAUAAUUUCAUGCAUUUUGAAUUGCUUUGAAAGAGAGUUGGAAUAUCUUUGCUUCUACUAAAUCUUAGGAUUCUUGUGAGAUCAUAUUUGUUUGCUAAAACUCUACCCGAUUGAUCCUUAUAUCCCUAACAUGGCACAUGCAUCCAUUUUGAAAAAAUCAAAGGCCCUUCCCCUUCUGGAAAAAAAGAAGAAAGAAAAAAAGGUAAGAAAAAGGAAAUUACAUCUACUCCGCUGGUUUAGGUCACUUAGUAACUGGGUAACUUCAUCACAAAUGUUGUUAUUCACGUAAAACGGUGGCCGGAGCUAUGAGUAUGCAAAGCACUUUAGGUAAAACGUGUUUUGGUUGAGUAACCGGGUGCCUUCACCACAAGUGUUGUCAUUCGCGUCAAAAGGCCAGAAUGCGACGUUUUUUGGUUGAGUAACCGGGUGCCUUCACCACAAGUGUUGUCAUUCGCGUCAAAAGACCGGAAAACGGCCUAAAGAACACAAGUCACGGGCAAAAAAAAAGGAAAAAAAAAAGCAAAUAAAAGCCGUGACAAAAGCAAAAGGGGAAGAAAAAAGAAAAAAAAUUCAUUAGUGGCCAAAGAAAAGAAAGAAAAGCGAAAUCCGUCCCGACUAGGUAGAUGUAAGGAGAUAAAGGGUAUUGUUUCAGCGUCGAGGAUAACAUUUAGAAAUCCAUAGAUUUUGUGGAAGCUUGAUUGUCCUCCUCUAUACUUGGCAAAAUGAAGUGUUGUGAUGUGAUUGGCCUCUUACCCUCGUUAUGAUAAGUUAGCUUUUGCAUAAUGUAUUGCGGCGUUUGUGUUUUGAGAUUACAUGCACAUAGUAUUUCAUUAUGUUGGAGGCAGUAACUUUAAAGACAUUGCGGCUGUCCUUUCUUUUCUUUAUUGAUUUAUUAAAAACUUGUCACAUUUCUUGGUGCUGAAAAUUUUUGUGUGUAAAAUCCUCUACUUUAGGCAUGCCUUUUUCUUAUGAAACUACUAUUGUUGGUUGGGAGGAGGAGGAGAUAGAUUCUGGCCUUCUAUUUAUUGUAACAAUAUUUAAAUUCUAUUUUAUUAUAGUUUUCUUCAAUCUUAUGAAUUAUUCCCUUUAGAUUGCCAUCCCAGCAGGGUGAGGGUGCAAGUUCAGUAUAUAGCAGUAGUGCAUCUUAUCCAUUGAAAAUCAACAGAUACAAUUAGAUACCAUCAUUUGGUAAUAUUAGGUCUGUGUUACUUUUUGUUGUUCUGCAUCUUUAGUGAUUUAAUCUUUGGUUGCAUUCUUAAAUCAAUGUUUUUCGUGACUACUGGUGCAAAAAGCUCAACCCAAGAUAUCACUCGGGGUUCAGUCCUGGAUAUUAUUGUGGAGAUGCUGCUGAUAUUGCUAAUACUGAAUCGUCGAGUGUUGCAAGAGAAGCUGCAAUACCUAGUGCUCUUUGUGCAAUACAUAAUGAAAUUACCCAUAUUGGUUUAUAAUGCUCUUUGUGCUCAUGUGGAUGACUUUGUUGCUGGCAUUUUCUGUGUGACUGUCUGAGCUUGUAUAGCUUGUGAAGGUGGUCAUAUUUUUAUUUUUUUAAAUUGAACAAAAUGUUGGAACUCUAGUGUUGAAGAUGCUUUGUGGUGACUAUUCUUUGAAUGG